This 193-nucleotide small RNA is filed under the name Arabidopsis thaliana (thale cress). RNAcentral's name for it is "ATSL288690". Lineage: Eukaryota; Viridiplantae; Streptophyta; Magnoliopsida; Brassicales; Brassicaceae. The record is from RNAcentral.
UAACAUUAAUAAAAUAAUGGUAUUUUUACGGAACGGGUUUGGCGGGACGGGUUUGACAGGACGUUACUUAAUAACUAUUGUAAACUAUAAAAUAAAAAUAAUUUAUAGAUAGAUACAAUUUGCAAAAUUUUAUAUAUACUAACUUUAAAAUAGAAAUUGUCCCCGCUGUGUACCGCAUGUUAAAAUCUAGUUU